CAUCUGGGAAGGGAAAAAUUAAAUGGCUAUAUAUGACAGCCAAAUGGCAUAAAGCAAGACCUUGACAUUUCGCUUCUAUGCCAUCUCUGACAGAAACAAAAGCAAGACAGAAGAGGUUGAAUAUGUAACAGAAGACAAUGGCAAUCAUGACACGACUACUUUUCUAUAGAUUUCCAUAGAAUCUAGAAUCACGACUCAAAUAUUCCUCUGGAACACAACUAAAUACCAUGAUUUGACAUUUGGUGUUACAGAUAAUUGGUGCAAGUAUUUGGGAUGUGGCUAACUUGGUGUGGUCAACUCCAAAUAAUUUGAAAGGAAGAAAAAGUGAUAGCUGGGCAAUAAACCAGCGUUUGGCCAAUAGCUGUUCCUGAAGUGCAUGAAUAGAAGAGGUCACGGGAUCUAAGGAAAGCCUGCGAGGACCUCUCAUCCCAUUAAAUGCCAAGUCUCAUCCCAGUAAGUGCCAGGUUUGGUGCAGCUAACCUGCCAGGUGGACUUCCAGUCUGAGGAUUACUGGGACUAACAGGACUUCAGCUGGGGCUUCAACGUGUGGUGUGGGCUUCCUGACACCACGGCCACUGGUUUCCAAGAGUUUCAACAAUAUUUUCAUCAUAUUUAUUGAAGGCCUCACUGACAGACUUCUCAAGGCCCCUCUACCUUCUAUUCGCUGCCUGGCCCCAAAGCCAGUGCCACACAUUUUAGGUUUUUAACUGCAGCAGCACCUAUGAUGUUUCCAAAAUCUGUAUCAUUAAAGUUUGAUCAGAGAAGCAAAACCACCUUGAGCAAAACAAGGAAUUUAUUAAAGAGAUUAGGAUACACAUUGUUAUGAAAGCUGCAACCUGCUGCCCCUGUGUCCAGAAGUGGGCCUGAAGUCAGCAGGGCUGGCAAAUGGAUGUGCAGUGGGAGAGAGUAGGCGUGAGCUGCACCUGCAGGGAGGAGAUGGAACUCCUGUGGAUGGACUGAAACUGAUGUCUUCCACGUCAGCCUCUCAGGCCUCCAACACUCCAGCGCUGAUGAUGAAGAUGACCUGCAGAGGAGCUGGUGCCCUUCACCAUGGAAUUGCUCAUAAACCCAAGAUUCAGUGAAGCUGAAGAAGCAGUUCUGGUGG
RNAcentral lists this long non-coding RNA (1105 nucleotides) under Homo sapiens (human). Its description in RNAcentral is "long intergenic non-protein coding RNA 2427". Lineage: Eukaryota; Metazoa; Chordata; Mammalia; Primates; Hominidae. The record is from RNAcentral.